UUACUAUCGUGCAAGGUAUAGAUAUUUGCUCAUUGUAUUUAGUUUAAUUUUUCAGUAUUGCUGGGGAUGGGAUUACUCAGGAUUGAUUAAGCAAUUAAUUGUUGAGAAGGAAAAUAUUUAUUGACAGUAGGGUGAUUAUUGUGUUAUAUAUAAAAUAUUAAUCCGGAGAUCGAAUUACUUUUGAAUUAUACUAUUAACAAAUAAUGAUGAUGUGUUUUACUCGGGAGACCUUUGGGUUUUGUUGAAUUUGUACUUAUUCUUACUUUCACUUGUAACUAAAGUCCAACUAAAAAAGUUUCAAUACCAAACUAGCUGAGAUCUUUAACAUGAUCUAUCUCCCCAUUAAGCUAUGUUUAUGUUCAAGCUUGUCACUAGUUGUUGCAUUAUAUAAAUAAUUUCUUUUACCACUUAAGACUGAGUCAUUUUUAUGUUGUUCUGCUUACUUUUGUUCUUUGCUGCAUUGAUGGAUUUGAUAGCAAAACCAUUUCAGUUGACCAACUUGUUCUAAAUGGCAGCCUACCCCAUAUUUCUAUGGGCUUACUUCUUUCUUAUCUCUUCCACUUUGUAUUUCUAUACAUCCAUAUUAACACCCUUGUUUUUGGACAAUGCUUAUGUUAGGAACUAGUGGCAAAGCUACACAAUAACAUUUUUUUUUGGGGUGUUGGGGGGAUAAAAUUAUAAAAUAAUG
RNAcentral lists this unclassified non-coding RNA (688 nucleotides) under Hevea brasiliensis (rubber tree). The record is from RNAcentral. Lineage: Eukaryota; Viridiplantae; Streptophyta; Magnoliopsida; Malpighiales; Euphorbiaceae.